Molecule: transfer RNA, 76 nt
Filed under: Armatimonadota bacterium
Lineage: Bacteria; Bacillati; Armatimonadota
Description: tRNA-Cys
Rfam family: tRNA
About the family: Transfer RNA (tRNA) molecules are approximately 80 nucleotides in length. Their secondary structure includes four short double-helical elements and three loops (D, anti-codon, and T loops).
Source: RNAcentral
GGCGGCGUACCCAAGUGGCUAAGGGAGCGGUCUGCAAAACCGUUAUUCAGGGGUCCGAUUCCCCUCGCCGCCUCCA